RNAcentral lists this ribosomal RNA (282 nucleotides) under uncultured Sphingobacteriales bacterium. RNAcentral describes it as "partial 16S ribosomal RNA". It matches the Rfam family "Bacterial small subunit ribosomal RNA", at positions 1100 to 1382 of the family's 1533-position model. Lineage: Bacteria; Pseudomonadati; Bacteroidota; Sphingobacteriia; Sphingobacteriales. The record is from RNAcentral.
AACCCUUACCGUUAGUUACCACCAGGUUAAGCUGGGGACUCUAGCGGGACUGCCACCGUAAGGUGAGAGAAGUGGGGAUGACGUCAAAUCAGCACGGCCCUUAUGUCCAGGGCUACACACGUGUUACAAUGGCCGGUACAAAGGGCAGCUACUUCGCGAGAAGAUGCUAAUCUCGAAAGCCGGUCUCAGUUCGGAUCGAAGUCUGCAACCCGACUUCGUGAAGCUGGAUUCGCUAGUAAUCGCGCAUCAGCCAUGGCGCGGUCGAAUACGUUCCCGGGCCUU